This 1569-nucleotide ribosomal RNA is filed under the name Neomys fodiens (Eurasian water shrew). RNAcentral describes it as "16S ribosomal RNA". It matches the Rfam family "Bacterial large subunit ribosomal RNA". The record is from RNAcentral. Lineage: Eukaryota; Metazoa; Chordata; Mammalia; Eulipotyphla; Soricidae.
ACUAAAGCUAGCCCAAACAAAAUAAUCUUAUAACCAAUAACCCAUAAUAAUAAAAUAAAACAUUUAUACAUUAAAGUAUAGGAGAUAGAAAUUCUUAUUUGGAGCUAUAGAGAAAGUACCGUAAGGGAACGAGUGAAAGACCUAUUAAAAGUAAUAAACAGCAAAGAUUACCCCUUGUACCUUUUGCAUAAUGAUUUAACCAGAACAACCUUAGCGUAGUGACCUUAAGUUAAGCACCCCGAAACCAGACGAGCUAUCCACGAACAGCUAAAUUGAGCAAACUCAUCUAUGUAGCAAAAUAGUGAGAAGAUUUUUGGAUAGAGGUGAAAAGCCUACCGAGCCUGGUGAUAGCUGGUUGUCCAGCCUAGAAUUUUAGUUCAACUUUAAAUUUACCACACCAAAACUCUAAUUCUAAUGUAAAUUUAAAUGUUAAUCUAAAGAGGUACAGCUCUUUAGACCAAGGAUACAACCUUUAUUAGAGAGUAAGCAUGCCAAUAACCAUAGUUGGCCUAAAAGCAGCCACCAAUUAAGAAAGCGUUCAAGCUCAACAAUUACUCCCACCUUAAUAUUAUAAACUAAAAUAACUCCUAAACUUUCACUGGACUAAUCUAUAUUAAUAUAGAAGAAAUACUGUUAAUAUGAGUAACAAGAUUAUUAUCUCCCCGCGCAAGUUUAUGUCAGACUUAAUAAUAACUGAUAGUUAACAGCCAACUAAACAUAACCUAAGAUAAAACAUUUAAUAUAUUCCACUGUUAACCCGACACAGGAGCGCAACAUACUAAGGGAAAGAUUAAAAGAAGUAAAAGGAACUCGGCAAACACAAACCCCGCCUGUUUACCAAAAACAUCACCUCUAGCAUUACUAGUAUUAGAGGCACUGCCUGCCCAGUGACAAUAGUUAAACGGCCGCGGUAUCCUGACCGUGCAAAGGUAGCAUAAUCAUUUGUUCUUUAAAUAAGGACUUGUAUGAAUGGCCACACGAGGGUUUAACUGUCUCUUACUUCUAAUCAGUGAAAUUGACCUUUCCGUGAAGAGGCGGAAAUAAACAAAUAAGACGAGAAGACCCUAUGGAGCUUUAAUUUUCUUAAUCCAACAGAAUCAACUCAACCCACAAGGAUCAACAAUAAUUCUAACUGGAUUAAAAAUUUUGGUUGGGGUGACCUCGGAGAAUAAAAUAACCUCCGAGAAGCUUAUACUAAGACUAACAAGUCUAAGUAAAAUAAAUAACUGAUCCAGUCUAACUGAUCAACGGAACAAGUUACCCUAGGGAUAACAGCGCAAUCCUAUUCAAGAGUCCCUAUCGACAAUAGGGUUUACGACCUCGAUGUUGGAUCAGGACAUCCUAAUGGUGCAGCAGCUAUUAAUGGUUCGUUUGUUCAACGAUUAAAGUCCUACGUGAUCUGAGUUCAGACCGGAGUAAUCCAGGUCGGUUUCUAUCUAUUUAAUAUUUCUCCUAGUACGAAAGGACAAGAGAAAUAGGGCCAAUUCAUAAAUGAACACCCUCAAGUAAAUAAAUGAAAAAAUCUUAAUUUAGUAAACUUAUUAAUAACCUACUUAAGACCAAAGUUUC